RNAcentral lists this ribosomal RNA (253 nucleotides) under uncultured bacterium. RNAcentral's name for it is "partial 16S ribosomal RNA". It matches the Rfam family "Bacterial small subunit ribosomal RNA", at positions 524 to 776 of the family's 1533-position model. The record is from RNAcentral.
UACAGAGGGUGCAAGCGUUGUUCGGAAUUAUUGGGCGUAAAGCGCGUGUAGGCGGCCUGUUAUGUCGGGUGUGAAAGCCCUCAGCUUAACUGAGGAAGUGCACUCGAAACUGGCGGGCUUGAGUACCGGAGAGGAGAGCGGAACACCCGGUGUAGUGGUGAAAUACGUAGAGAUUGGGAAGAACACCAGUGGCGAAGGCGGCUAUCUGGACGGUUUCUGACGCUAAGACGCGAAAGCGUGGGGAGCAAACAGG